This 69-nucleotide transfer RNA is filed under the name Ovis aries (sheep). It matches the Rfam family "tRNA". From Rfam's summary of the family: Transfer RNA (tRNA) molecules are approximately 80 nucleotides in length. Their secondary structure includes four short double-helical elements and three loops (D, anti-codon, and T loops). Lineage: Eukaryota; Metazoa; Chordata; Mammalia; Artiodactyla; Bovidae. The record is from Rfam by way of RNAcentral.
CCUGGUGGCUCAGAGUGUAAAGCACCUGCCUGCAAUGCAGGAGACCUGGGUUUGAUCCCUGGGUCAGGA